This 468-nucleotide ribosomal RNA is filed under the name uncultured bacterium. RNAcentral describes it as "partial 16S ribosomal RNA". It matches the Rfam family "Bacterial small subunit ribosomal RNA", at positions 28 to 507 of the family's 1533-position model. The record is from RNAcentral.
GACGAACGCUGGCGGCGUGCUUAACACAUGCAAGUCGAACGGAAAGGCCCUGCUUUUGUGGGGUGCUCGAGUGGCGAACGGGUGAGUAACACGUGAGUAACCUGCCCUUGACUUUGGGAUAACUUUAGGAAAAUGGGGCUCAUACCGGAUAGGAGCUCCUGCUGCAUGGUGGGGGUUGGAAAGUUUCGGCGGUUGGGGAUGGACUCGCGGCUUAUCAGCUUGUUGGUGGGGUAGUGGCUUACCAAGGCUUUGACGGGUAGCCGGCCUGAGAGGGUGACCGGCGACAUUGGGACUGAGAGACGGCCCAGACGCCUACGGGAGGCAGCAGUGGGGAAUAUUGCGCAAUGGGCGGAAGCCUGAUGCAGCAACGCCGCGUGCGGGAUGACGGCCUUCUGGUUGUAAACCGCUUUCGCCGGUGACGAAGCGUGAGUGACGGUAAUGGGUAAAGAAGCACCGGCUAACUACGUG